RNAcentral lists this ribosomal RNA (497 nucleotides) under uncultured bacterium. RNAcentral's name for it is "partial 16S ribosomal RNA". It matches the Rfam family "Bacterial small subunit ribosomal RNA", at positions 28 to 507 of the family's 1533-position model. The record is from RNAcentral.
GAUGAACGCUGGCGGCGUGCCUAAUACAUGCAAGUCGAGCGAACGGACGAGAAGCUUGCUUUUCUGAUGUUAGCGGCGGACGGGUGAGUAACACGUGGAUAACCUACCUAUAAGACUGGGAUAACUUCGGGAAACCGGAGCUAAUACCGGAUAAUAUUUUGAACCGCAUGGUUCAAAAGUGAAAGACGGUCUUGCUGUCACUUAUAGAUGGAUCCGCGCUGCAUUAGCUAGUUGGUAAGGUAACGGCUUACCAAGGCAACGAUGCAUAGCCGACCUGAGAGGGUGAUCGGCCACACUGGAACUGAGACACGGUCCAGACUCCUACGGGAGGCAGCAGUAGGGAAUCUUCCGCAAUGGGCGAAGGCCUGACGGAGCAACGCCGCGUGAGUGAUGAAGGUCUUCGGAUCGUAAAACUCUGUUAUUAGGGAAGAACAUAUGUGUAAGUAACUGUGCACAUCUUGACGGUACCUAAUCAGAAAGCCACGGCUAACUACUUG